Hylaeus anthracinus is the source of this 803-nucleotide long non-coding RNA. RefSeq lists it as uncharacterized. NCBI's taxonomy places the organism in Eukaryota, Metazoa, Arthropoda, Insecta, Hymenoptera, Colletidae. The transcript is spliced from 2 exons. The record is from RefSeq and is a predicted model, not a curated record.
CCUGAAGAUGAGUCACUUCGCGAAACGGACCUGCGCAUGGGAGCAACUUAACACCUGGUUCUUGUAUUCCUACGUUGACGGCUGCGAGUGACAGGUUUUUCCUGACAAAUUGGCCUGCUCAUGGUUUCGUAAGCGGUUGUCGAGGCUAGGACAACUUGAACUCAAUGAAUGCAUCCUUGGGGAUAGAGAUAGAGUGUUGGAAUGCAUUUGAAAGAAGUGAAAUGGGAGUUUAGUUUUUAUUUCAUUUUCAAUGUUUGUCACGAUUACGAUGGACAGAUUUUUUUUUCAUAAAUUGAUUGAUUCGUGGUUUAGCGAGAAAUUAUUGAAGGUUCAAUCUUAUGUUAUUAAUUUAAUCUGAACGUGUCCAAUUGAGUACCGAUCAAAAUAAUUGCUGUUUUCGUUGAGGAAGUUUGAUAUUUGAGUACAUCUUCUUUUAGGACAUUUAAUUCAGAUUCUGCUACUUUUUCUUUACAGUAAGUGUCACCUGUCAAUUCGAAAGAGACUCACGGGAAAGGAAGAGACGUCAUUCUGGGGUCGCAUUUAACACUUUUCAGUUUGAAAUAAUUUUGCCUAAAUUAAGUGCAGUAGGCUUUACAAACACAAUUAUACAGAAAUAUUUGUUGGACGCUACCUAAUUAAAAGGGACAAACAGUCUGUGAUACAGUACAUAUGGGCUCAUAGAAAUAAAAUCAUGUAUCAAACUUGUGACGCUGGUACAAUAGAAUUCACUUUUGUAGUACCAGCUUUGUAACAUGUGUGAAUUAGAACUAGAAAAUAAAAUAAAAUAUACUUCAAUAUUUUCA